CCUACGGGAGGCAGCAGUGAGGAAUAUUGGACAAUGGACGCAAGUCUGAACCAGCCAUGCCGCGUGCAGGAAGACGGCCCUAUGAGUGGUAAACUGCUUUUGUACGGGGGUAAACGCAGAUACGCGUAUCUUUCUGAAAGUAUCGUACGAAUAAGGGUCGGCUAACUCCGUGCCAGCAGCCGCGGUAAUACGGAGGAUGCAAGCGUUAUCCGGAUUUAUUGGGUUUAAAGGGUGCGUAGGCGGUCGGAUAAGUUAGAGGUGAAAUCCCGAGGCUCAACUUCGGAAUUGCCUCUGAUACUGUUCGGCUAGAGAGUAGUUGCGGUAGGUAGAAUGUAAGGUGUAGCGGUGAAAUGCGUAGAGAUCAGACAGAACACCGAUUGCGAAGGCGGCUUCCCAGGCUACUUCUGACGUUGAGGCACGAAAGCGUGGGGAGCAAACAGGAUUAGAUACCCGGGUAGUC
RNAcentral lists this ribosomal RNA (460 nucleotides) under uncultured bacterium. Its description in RNAcentral is "partial 16S ribosomal RNA". It matches the Rfam family "Bacterial small subunit ribosomal RNA", at positions 338 to 795 of the family's 1533-position model. The record is from RNAcentral.